RNA transcript from Beta vulgaris subsp. vulgaris (sugar beet), 3830 nucleotides. It is a transcript of the gene named protein NLP2, with no coding region annotated. Lineage: Eukaryota; Viridiplantae; Streptophyta; Magnoliopsida; Caryophyllales; Amaranthaceae. The transcript is spliced from 7 exons. The record is from RefSeq and is a predicted model, not a curated record.
AGCAAUAGCAAAGUAUUAGAAUAUAUAGAAUGGAAACAUAAAAAUCAUACAUUUAAAGCUCUGCUGAUGUAUGCUAUGGACAAGAGGGAAGGUAGCACUAUUAGCUUCUUUAAGCUUGCAGCUAUAUUAUCAUCAUCAUCAUCAUCAUCAUCAUGAUCAUCUGACUCAUUUUACUUUUAAAACAACCAUCUUUCUUGCCUCUGCUCUCAUUUUUGGAGAUGCACACUUCGAAAUCUCCUAGGAUUCUCCACAAAUUCAGAAUUGCAGUUGAGAGAGGACCUUUGAGCUGAAGAUGUUUCUACAGAUUGAAUUUUUCCAGACAGAAGAUAGAGAUCCUUCCUGGGAGUUUUUCCAUUUGUUCUACAUAUUUAGGCUUCUUUGGAGUUUUGGGUCUUAAUUUUUAUAAAAUAAAUAUAGCUCUCCCCAUUUUAGAUGCUGUAAAAAUAACUUUUUUUCAUACCAGCUGAAUAUCAUUGUAUAUUAGACUCCAUAUAAACCUAGUUUAUUUCCACCAUUAAAAAGUCCUUGAAUAUGGAUGAUGGUUCUUUCACUCCUUCCAACAAUCCUCCUGUGUUUGGAAACCUUGACUAUGAUUUAAUGGAUCAACUGUUAAAUGAAGGGUGUUGGUUACAAACAGCUGAUGGAUCAAACCUUCUGCAGUUGAGUCAGGGUCCUGGUCAGGGUCAGGGUCAGGGUGAGGGUGAGGGUCAGGGUCAGGGUUCGAGUCCACCCACCUCUCGCGGUUUAAGCUACCCAUCUUUUCCCUUCCUUGGUUCGGACCCAAACUCGAGCAGUUUGACUUCCACCCCUCAGCCUAGUAAAUGGAGUCCAAAGACAGAACAUGGAAUAGAUUCAGAAAAUCAGGAAAACAACAUGCUAGCAAAAAGAAGCUUCAGUUGGGAUAGCAAUGAACUGAACAAAAUGCUAUGGAUAGCACCAAAGGCGAAUUCAGGGCUGUCAACUUCAGUUAAAGACAGGUUGAUGACAGCAAUCUACCAUUUGAGAGAAUUGAAUAGAGAAAGAGAUGUGCUUAUUCAAAUAUGGGUUCCUAUAAAGAAAGGACUAAAGAGUUUCCUUACAACAGUGGAGCAACCGCACUUUUAUCAACCUUCUAGCACGCGGUUGCUCCAUUAUAGAGAUGUCUCCGAGAAAUAUGAAUUCUUGGCAGAUGAAGAUACUAAACAGGCACUUGGAUUGCCUGGGCGAGUCUUCCUUGGCAAAGCACCUGAAUGGACACCUGAUGUCCGAUUUUUCAGGCAGGAGGAGUAUCCACGUAGUGUUUUUGCUCAUAAGUAUGAUGUUCGUGGCUCUAUUGCUCUUCCUGUUUUUGAAAAAGGCAGUGCUCUUUCUUUAGGCGUUGUUGAGAUUAUCAUGACUACUGAUAAAUUCGAUUAUCGUCCUGAAGUUGAAAGCGUUUGUAAAGCACUUGAGACUGUUCAUCUCAGGAGUUCCGAUAUCCUUGACACUCCUCAGGAACAGGUAGUGAAAGGAUCUUAUGAAGCUGUACAACCUGAAAUCUUAACUGUGGUGAGAACUGUAUGUGACACACUCGAUUUACCUCUAGCUCAAACAUGGGCUCCAUGUUCACAACAAGGAAAAGGCGGGUGUUGGCAUUCAGACAACAACACCCAUUGCGUUUCAAUCAUUGAUUCUGCUUGUUAUGUUCGUGAUCAACGAGUUAUGGAUUUCCAUAAGGCCUGCUCCGAUCACCACUUACUGAAAAGUCAAGGGGGUAUAGUUGGGAAAGCAUUUGAGACAAACCAGCCAUGCUAUGCUACAGAUGUCACGGAGUUCAGUAAGGUCGAAUAUCCCCUCUCACACCACGCAAAGAUGUUUGGGCUACAUGGUGCGGUAGCAAUAAGGCUUCGUGACAUCUAUCAUGAGCUGAAUGAUUAUGUAUUAGAAUUAUAUUUACCAUCCAAUUUGCAGGAAAAAGGGCUAGCUUUCCAUGCUAGGAUAUGGCAGUCAGUAUCAAUGGUGAUACAGCAACACUGCCGGUUUCUGCAGUUUAUUACAGAUAAAGAUUUUGAGCAGAAAGUCUUGAACCCUGGAAAGCUGAGUUCAGAUAAUGAAGUAAAAGAAACUUCCUGGCUAUCACACAUGAUCGACCCUCAGAGAAAGGGUAAGGAGGUAGUGGUUUCUUUGGAAUUUGGAGAAGAAGAGCCUAGCAAAGGAUUUAAGGUGAUGAAUUGGAGUGAUAGCGAGCCUAGUUUACAACUCGGACAGGCAGUUUCUGAUAGCGAAAACAUCAACCCAGAUUCUGGAUCAAAAGGUAUAAGUGCUUCAUCAUCUGGAGGCCGGCUUCCUCUGGGUGCUAGAAAAGCUGUUGAAAAGAGGAGGACCAAGACUCAGAAAACAAUCAGUUUGGAUAUACUUAGACAAUACUUUGCUGGUAGCCUUAAAGAAGCUGCCAAAAGCAUUGGAGUUUGCCCCACAACUCUGAAAAGGAUAUGUAGGCAGCAUGGAAUUGCUAGAUGGCCUUCUAGAAAGAUCAAGAAGGUGGAUCAUUCUCUGAGGAAACUUCAACUGGUGAUUGACUCAGUGCAAGGUGCUGAAGGCUCCAUACAACUGUCUUCUUUCUAUACAAAUUUCCCUGAACUUAACAGUCCAAACACACCGACGAAACCCAAUCAAGUUUCCUCAAUAAACUUAAACAAUCAGCCGAAACAACAACAGCUAACUACUCAACCUGAAGGAACCAUAUUCCCUUCAGGAGCCACAACUUCCAACUCUCCGGCCUCAACUUCUUCUAGCCAAACCUCCACUUCUAGUUAUUGCUUCUCAAGUGGGGCCAAAAUCUCAUCUCCUAUUACAACAAUUGCCUCAGGGAGUAAAGACACAUCAACAGCACAAGAUCCUGAUGGGUCCCUCAAGAGAGCCCGCAGUGAAGCAGAAUUACAGGGGCUAAGUAAAAGAGAAUCUACUGAUCAGAUUCUAGAAAGAUCUCAGAGCAACAGAACUCUUGCUGAGCAUCCUUCUUUUGAAGCUCUACCGCGUUUGGCUAUAACCAAAAGUUGGCUAUCAAGAGAGGCAGGUGUGUUCAAAGCUAAAGCUACUUUCGGAGAGGAGAAAAUUCGUUUCACCAUCUUACCAACCAUGGGAUUCCAAGAAUUGCAACAAGAGAUAGUCAAAAGAUUUAAUUUGGAAGAAGAUUUCAAUAGGAUGGGUAUUAAGUAUUUGGAUGAUGAUAAAGAAUGGGUUCUUUUAACAUGCAAUGCUGAUCUAGAGGAAUGUAUAGAUAUACAUAAAUCUUCUGGGAGCCACACAAUCAAGCUCUCUCUUUCGCCUCUUUCAAGCUUGGCCGGUUCUUUUGGUAGCAGCGGUUUAUCAUAACUUCAGAAUUUGUGGAACUUUGAUUGUCCGCCAUGUUGAUCACGACAAGUAUUUGGUUUUAUUAUUGAAGUAUGAAAGGAGGCAAAAGAUCUUGCUCAUGAGUCAUGAUAUAUCAUGUCAUUUUUAAAGCUUUUGAUGAAUUCUAAUAGCAUGACAUGAGGAAUAUUUUUUGCAAGUUUACUGAUAGAGCUUGUUGAUUAUGUGAUCUUGAUAACGGAAGAAGACGAAGAAGAAACAAGAGAUUUGGGAGCAAGCAAUAAGCAUUGUGAUUUUUUUGAUGGGUAGUACAUCUAUCAACUCGGCAAAGAAGUUAGGAAGUGUUUGUUUUAUACAGCCAAAAGCUAUGUAAAAUUUAUGAUUAUUUUCAUGCCACCCUUAUAUUUAAAAUUUUUGUUUGUUGUCUUCAGAAUUUAGACCCUAUAUAAGUGAAGAUUUUGUAAAAGAAAAAUUGUUCGAUAUGUAAUUUUGAACUUUCUAUCAUGAAAAUCUUUUUAGUA